ACCAAGGCGAAGACGGUAGCUGGUCUGAGAGGAUGAUCAGCACACUGGAACUGAGACACGGUCCAGACUCCUACGGGAGGCAGCAGUGGGAAUAUUGCGCAAUGGGCGAAAGCCUGACGCAGCCACGCCGCGUGAGCGAUGAAGGUCUUCGGAUCGUAAAGCUCUGUGGGGGGAGAAGAAGAAAGUCGGUGAAGAGCCGGCCCUGACGGUAUCCCCUUAGCAAGCACCGGCUAACUCCGUGCCAGCAGCCGCGGUAAUACGGAGGGUGCAAACGUUGCUCGGAAUCAUUGGGCGUAAAGCGCGCGUAGGCGGCUGAACAAGUUGGAUGUGAAAGCCCUGGGCUCAACCUAGGAUGUGCAUUCAAAACUGUUCGGCUUGAGUCUCGGAGGGGGUCAGAGAAUUCUCGGUGUAGAGGUGAAAUUCGUAGAUAUCGGG
This 435-nucleotide ribosomal RNA is filed under the name uncultured bacterium. RNAcentral describes it as "bacterial SSU rRNA". It matches the Rfam family "Bacterial small subunit ribosomal RNA", at positions 267 to 701 of the family's 1533-position model. The record is from RNAcentral.